UGGUUAAUCUUCUUGACGCUGAUCUCC
Molecule: non-coding RNA, 27 nt
Filed under: Homo sapiens (human)
Lineage: Eukaryota; Metazoa; Chordata; Mammalia; Primates; Hominidae
Source: RNAcentral